CCAAUAGCGUAUAUUAAAGUUGUUGCAGUUAAAAAGCUCGUAGUUGAAUUUCGAGAUCAAAUUGUUGGUCGUGCCUCGGUACGUACUGGCAUUAUUGGUUUCUCCCUUCUGACGAACCAUGAUGUCAUUAAUUUGGUGUCAUGGGGAAUCAGGACUGUUACUUUGAAAAAAUUAGAGUGUUUAAAGCAGGCUCGCGCUUGAAUACAUUAGCAUGGAAUAAUGAAAUAGGACGUUUGAUUCUAUUUUGUUGGUUUCUAGGAUCGACGUAAUGAUUAAUAGGGAUAGUUGGGGGCAUUAGUAUUCAAUUGUAAGAGGUGAAAUUCUUGGAUUUAUUGAAGACUAACUACUGCGAAAGCAUUUGCCAAGGAUGUUUUCAUUAAUCAAGAACGAAAGUUAGGGGAUCGAAGACGAUCAGAUACCGUCGUAGUCUUAACCAUAAACUAUGCCGACUAGGGAUCGGAUGAUGUUAAUUUUUUAAUGACUCAUUCGGCGCCUUAC
Molecule: ribosomal RNA, 498 nt
Filed under: uncultured Glomeromycotina
Lineage: Eukaryota; Fungi; Glomeromycota
Description: partial small subunit ribosomal RNA
Rfam family: Eukaryotic small subunit ribosomal RNA
Source: RNAcentral